This 301-nucleotide ribosomal RNA is filed under the name uncultured bacterium. Its description in RNAcentral is "partial 16S ribosomal RNA". It matches the Rfam family "Bacterial small subunit ribosomal RNA", at positions 509 to 807 of the family's 1533-position model. The record is from RNAcentral.
CAGCCGCCACGGGAAAACGGGGGGGGCUAGCGUUGUUCGGAAUUACUGGGCGUAAAGCGCACGUAGGCGGCUUUGUAAGUUAGAGGUGAAAGCCCGGGGCUCAACCCCGGAAUUGCCUUUAAGACUGCAGAGCUAGCAGGUGAGAGAGGUGAGUGGAAUUCCGAGUGUAGAGGUGAAAUUCGUAGAUAUUCGGAAGAACACCAGUGGCGAAGGCGGCUCACUGGACCGGCAUUGACGCUGAGGUGCGAAAGCGUGGGGAGCAAACAGGAUUAGAUACCCCCGUAGUCCCUGUCUCUUAUAC